Trametes coccinea BRFM310 is the source of this 81-nucleotide non-coding RNA. NCBI's taxonomy places the organism in Eukaryota, Fungi, Basidiomycota, Agaricomycetes, Polyporales, Polyporaceae. The record is from the annotation of a GenBank genome assembly.
GGGCGUUUGGCACAGUGGUAGCGCGCAUGCUUUGCAUUGUCAGCUUGCAUGAGGUCGAGGGUUCAAACCCCUCAACGUCCA